GAUGAAGAACGUAGCGAAAUGCGAUAAUUAAUGUGAAUUGCAGAAUUCCGUGAAUCAUCGAGUCUUUGAACGCACAUUGCGCCUCAUGGCAUUCCGUGAGGCAUGCCCAUCUCAGCGUUAGAAAAUAUUCUCAAAUUUUAGUUUUGUGCUAAAAUUUGGAUCAUGUCAAGGAAGCUAUUACUAUUAUUGUGAUCGCUCUUUGGAAAUCGAUAGGUCUUUGAGUUGCUACUCAUAGAACGUGAUGAAUCUUUCUUCGUUCUAUUGUAAUUCACUCUGGUAGUCCUAAAACUUGUAUGCCUGUGGCAUAUCUUGUAAUUUGACCUGAGAUUGGGUAGGGAUACCCGCUGAACUUAAGCAUAUCAAUAAGCGGAGGA
RNAcentral lists this unclassified non-coding RNA (374 nucleotides) under soil metagenome. Its description in RNAcentral is "partial contains internal transcribed spacer 2 and large subunit ribosomal RNA". The stretch from base 1 to 120 matches the Rfam family "5.8S ribosomal RNA", at positions 35 to 154 of the family's 154-position model. The record is from RNAcentral.